GGAGUCACAAAGAUGGAGCAGACUCCCUGCCCUCCUGAAGCUCACUGUUGGCUGGGGGAAGAACACACACAGACACAUUCAAAAGAGCCUGAAAUGAGAAGCAAGUUAUGUUAGGCGCCAUGAUUGAUGGACUUAUGAAGCCCUGGGUGAGAGGACUACCAAUCACAGCCAGCUGCAAGAUUCCAGACUGGGUCAGAAGGAGAAGCCUAUUGAAUGGAGGCCUUAGUGGAAGAACCCAUCUUUAUCAAGAAAUAUACUUUCCUAGUUGCUUUGGGGUGGAGAAGAUGAGAUCCCAAACCUACCUUGUAAGGAGAACAAGAAAUAAAGAGAGAGGUAAACUUUGCUCCAGAAGAAAUGGUCCAGAAUAUUGAAGGUAGGCAAAGACAGGGGAGAAAGAGGACUAGAUCUGGUGGGAAACUGGAUUAAUCCGAAGCCUGUAGAUUAAGGGCACCAGUGAGAAGUUUCCUGUCGUGGAAUGGCCAAGAAGUUUUAAGACAGGGUGUCAAAUCUAC
Molecule: long non-coding RNA, 512 nt
Filed under: Equus caballus (horse)
Lineage: Eukaryota; Metazoa; Chordata; Mammalia; Perissodactyla; Equidae
Description: lncRNA (ENSECAG00000053554.1)
Source: RNAcentral